RNAcentral lists this ribosomal RNA (434 nucleotides) under uncultured bacterium. RNAcentral describes it as "partial 16S ribosomal RNA". It matches the Rfam family "Bacterial small subunit ribosomal RNA", at positions 29 to 507 of the family's 1533-position model. The record is from RNAcentral.
AGCGAACGCUGGCGGCAGGCCUAACACAUGCAAGUCGAACGAACCUUUCGGGGUUAGUGGCGGACGGGUGAGUAACACGUGGGAACGUGCCUUUAGGUUCGGAAUAACUCAGGGAAACUUGUGCUAAUACCGAAUGUGCCCUUCGGGGGAAAGAUUUAUCGCCUUUAGAGCGGCCCGCGUCUGAUUAGCUAGUUGGUUGAGGUAAUGGCUCACCAAGGCGACGAUCAGUAGCUGGUCUGAGAGGAUGAUCAGCCACAUUGGGACCGAGACCCGGCCCAAACUCCUUCGGGGAGCAGCAGUGGGGAAUCUUGCGCAAUGGGCCAAAGCCUUACGCCGCCCUUGCGCGGUAAUGAUGAAGGUCUUUGGGUUUGAAAAUUCUUUCACCCGGGACGAUAAUGACGGUACCCGGAGAAGAAGCCCCGGCUAACUUCGUG